UACGGAGGAUGCAAGCGUUAUCCGGAAUGAUUGGGCGUAAAGAGUCCGCAGGUGGUUGUGUGUGUCUAUUGUCAAAGCAUCAUGCUUAACAUGAUAAAGGCAGUAGAAACUACACGACUAGAGUGCGUUCGGGGCAGAGGGAAUUCCUGGUGUAGCGGUGAAAUGCGUAGAGAUCAGGAAGGACACCGGUGGCGAAAGCGCUCUGCUAGGCCGCAUCUGACUCUGAGGGACGAAAGCUAGGGGAGCGAAUGGG
This 253-nucleotide ribosomal RNA is filed under the name uncultured bacterium. Its description in RNAcentral is "partial 16S ribosomal RNA". It matches the Rfam family "Bacterial small subunit ribosomal RNA", at positions 524 to 776 of the family's 1533-position model. The record is from RNAcentral.